GUCAGCUGUGAGUAGCUCCCGUUCUCAGAUUUCUGCUGUAUCUGGAAGGCCGUGGAACAAAUAGAGACAGCGCCGUCCUCCACCUGUCUCCAUUGUUACCUGCACCAGUCAUUACCAGUGUCCCAGAUCCCCACUGUGGUCAUCCUUCUUUGUGCGCAGCAGCAGAGGCAGGUGCUUCCGACUACGGGGGACAGAUCACUGUUGACUCUGGACAAUGGAGGAAAACAGGAGAAGGAGGUCUAAUUCAUGCAUAGACACUUCCAGCCCAGUCCAGCACA
This is a long non-coding RNA of Monopterus albus (swamp eel), 278 nucleotides long. RefSeq lists it as uncharacterized. Lineage: Eukaryota; Metazoa; Chordata; Actinopteri; Synbranchiformes; Synbranchidae. The record is from RefSeq and is a predicted model, not a curated record. The transcript has 3 exons.